UGGGGAAUUGUUCGCAAUGGGCGCAAGCCUGACGACGCAACGCCGCGUGGAGGACGAAGAUCUUCGGGUCGUAAACUCCUUUCGAUCGGGAAGAACGUUUCCGGGGUGAAUAAUCCCGGGAAGUGACGGUACCGAGAGAUGAAGCCCCGGCUAACUCCGUGCCAGCAGCCGCGGUAAUACAGAGGGGGCAAGCGUUGUUCGGAAUUACUGGGCGUAAAGGGCGCGUAGGCGGCCCGCUAAGUCGAACGUGAAAUCCCCGAGCUCAACUCGGGAACUGCGUCCGAUACUGGCGGGCUUGAAUCCGGGAGAGGGAUGCGGAAUUCCAGGUGUAGCGGUGAAAUGCGUAGAUAUCUGGAGGAACACCGGUGGCGAAGGCGGCAUCCUGGACCGGCAUUGACGCUGAGGCGCGAAAGCUAGGGGAGCAAAC
Molecule: ribosomal RNA, 427 nt
Filed under: uncultured bacterium
Lineage: Bacteria
Description: bacterial SSU rRNA
Rfam family: Bacterial small subunit ribosomal RNA
Source: RNAcentral